This 714-nucleotide ribosomal RNA is filed under the name uncultured beta proteobacterium. RNAcentral's name for it is "bacterial SSU rRNA". It matches the Rfam family "Bacterial small subunit ribosomal RNA", at positions 58 to 769 of the family's 1533-position model. Lineage: Bacteria; Pseudomonadati; Pseudomonadota; Betaproteobacteria. The record is from RNAcentral.
CAAGUCGAACGGGGUGAGGAGCAAUCCUCAUUCAGUGGCGAACGGGUGAGUAAUGCAUCGGAACGUGUCCCGUANUGGGGGAUAACGCCGCGAAAGCGGCGCUAAUACCGCAUACGCUCUGUGGAGGAAAGCAGGGGACCCGCGAGGGCCUUGUGCUAGGGGGGCGGCCGAUGUCCGAUUAGGUUGUUGGUGGGGUAAUGGCCUACCAAGCCUGCGAUCGGUAGCUGGUCUGAGAGGAUGAUCAGCCACACUGGGACUGAGACACGGCCCAGACUCCUACGGGAGGCAGCAGUGGGGAAUUUUGGACAAUGGGGGCAACCCUGAUCCAGCCAUGCCGCGUGCGGGAAGAAGGCCUUCGGGUUGUAAACCGCUUUUAGCCGGGAAGAAAGCGCUACGGAUAACACCCGUAGUGGUUGACGGUACCGGCGGAAUAAGCACCGGCUAACUACGUGCCAGCAGCCGCGGUAAUACGUAGGGUGCAAGCGUUAAUCGGAAUUACUGGGCGUAAAGCGUGCGCAGGCGGUUCGUUGUGUCGGCGGUGAAAGCCCCGGGCUCAACCUGGGAAUGGCCGUUGAAACUGGCGAACUGGAGUGUGGCAGAGGGGGGUGGAAUUCCGCGUGUAGCAGUGAAAUGCGUAGAGAUGCGGAGGAACACCGAUGGCGAAGGCAGCCCCCUGGGCUGACACUGACGCUCAGGCACGAAAGCGUGGGGAGC